Molecule: small nuclear RNA, 103 nt
Organism: Myotis daubentonii (Daubenton's bat)
Lineage: Eukaryota; Metazoa; Chordata; Mammalia; Chiroptera; Vespertilionidae
Source: RefSeq, a predicted model, not a curated record
GUAAGGACUGAGCACAUACACUAAAAUUAAAGCAACAUGGAGAAGAUUAUCACAGCCCCUGCAUGUAGAUGGCACACAAACUUCUGAAGCAUUCCAUAUUUUU